This 133-nucleotide small nuclear RNA is filed under the name Pelodiscus sinensis (Chinese soft-shelled turtle). Its description in RNAcentral is "U2 spliceosomal RNA (ENSPSIG00000020034.1)". The stretch from base 1 to 98 matches the Rfam family "U2 spliceosomal RNA", at positions 35 to 192 of the family's 192-position model. Rfam says of the family: U2 is a small nuclear RNA (snRNA) component of the spliceosome (involved in pre-mRNA splicing). Complementary binding between U2 snRNA (in an area lying towards the 5' end but 3' to hairpin I) and the branchpoint sequence (BPS) of the intron results the bulging out of an unpaired adenosine, on the BPS, which initiates a nucleophilic attack at the intronic 5' splice site, thus starting the first of two transesterification reactions that mediate splicing. Lineage: Eukaryota; Metazoa; Chordata; Testudines; Trionychidae. The record is from RNAcentral.
AGCAUCUGUUCUUAUCAGUUUAAUAUCUGAUAUGUUCUCUAUCUGAGAACUUUAUAUUAAAUGGAUUUUUGGAGAGGGGGCGGGAGUAGGAACCCCAAUAGCAUCUGACAUCCAUAAGUUCAGCCCUUUAAAA